CCUACGGGUGGCAGCAGUGAGGAAUAUUGGUCAAUGGGCGCUAGCCUGAACCAGCCAAGUAGCGUGAAGGAUGACUGCCCUAUGGGUUGUAAACUUCUUUUAUAUGGGAAUAAAGUGCAGUAUGUAUACUGCUUUGCAUUUACCUUAUGAAUAAGGAUCGGCUAACUCCGUGCCAGCAGCCGCGGUAAUACGGAGGAUCCGAGCUUUAUCCGGAUUUCGUUGGUUUAAUGGGAGAGUAGGCGGGUUGUUAAGUCAGUUGGGAAAGUGUGCGGCUCAACCGGAAAAUUGCAGUUGAUACUGGCAUCCUUGAGUACAGGAGAGGUAGGCGGAAUUCGUGGGGUAGCGGGGAAAUGCUGAGAUAUCACGAAGAACUCCGAUUGCGAAGGCAGCCUGCUGGACUGUAACUGACGCUGAUGCUCGAAAGUGUGAGUAUCAAACAGGAUUAGAUACCCCUGUAGUC
RNAcentral lists this ribosomal RNA (460 nucleotides) under uncultured bacterium. RNAcentral describes it as "partial 16S ribosomal RNA". It matches the Rfam family "Bacterial small subunit ribosomal RNA", at positions 338 to 795 of the family's 1533-position model. The record is from RNAcentral.